This 435-nucleotide ribosomal RNA is filed under the name uncultured bacterium. RNAcentral's name for it is "partial 16S ribosomal RNA". It matches the Rfam family "Bacterial small subunit ribosomal RNA", at positions 29 to 507 of the family's 1533-position model. The record is from RNAcentral.
AGCGAACGCUGGCGGCAGGCUUAACACAUGCAAGUCGAGCGGGCACUUACGGAUGUCAGCCGCGUACGGGUGGGUAACGCGUGGGGACGGGGCCUCUGGUUCGGAAUAACUCAGGGAAACUUGAGCUCAUACCGGAUACGCCCCUUUUGGGACAGGCUGGCUGCCGGAGGAGCGGCCCGCGCCUGAUUAGCUAGGCGAUGAGGUAACGGGUCACCAAAGCGACGAUCAGUAGCUGGGCUGAGAGGAUGAUCAGCCACACUGGGACUGAGACACGGCCCAGACUCCUACGGGAUGGAGCAGUGGGGAAUAUUGGACAAUGGGCGCAAGCCUGAUGCAGCCAUGCCGCGUGAGUGAUGAAGGCCUUAGAGUUGUAAAGCUCUUUUAUCCGGGACGAUAAUGACGGUACCGGAGGAAUAAGCCCCGGCUAACUUCGUG